RNAcentral lists this ribosomal RNA (828 nucleotides) under uncultured bacterium. RNAcentral describes it as "bacterial SSU rRNA". It matches the Rfam family "Bacterial small subunit ribosomal RNA", at positions 662 to 1503 of the family's 1533-position model. The record is from RNAcentral.
CGGAAUGCGUGGUGUAGCGGUGAAAUGCAUAGAGAUCACGCAGAACUCCGAUUGCGAAGGCAGCUUACUAAGGUAUAACUGACACUGAAGCACGAAAGCGUGGGUAUCAAACAGGAUUAGAUACCCUGGUAGUCCACGCAGUAAACGAUGAUUACUAGGAGUUUGCGAUAUAGUGUAAGCUCUACAGCGAAAGCGUUAAGUAAUCCACCUGGGGGGUACGCCGGCAACGGUGAAACUCAAAGGAAUUGACGGGGGCCCGCACAAGCGGAGGAACAUGUGGUUUAAUUCGAUGAUACGCGAGGAACCUUACCCGGGAUUGAAAUGUAGACGACGGAGAGUGAGAGCUUUCUUCCCUUCGGGGCGUCUAUGUAGGUGCUGCAUGGUUGUCGUCAGCUCAUGCCGUGAGGUGUCGGCUUAGGUGCCAUAACGAGCGCAACCCUGACUGUCAGUUGCUAACAGGUAAAGCUGAGGACUCUGGCGGGACUGCCGGCGUAAGCUGUGAGGAAGGUUGGGAUGACGUCAAAUCAGUACGGCCCUUACAUCCGGGGCGACACACGUGUUACAAUGGCAGGGACAAAGGGCAGCUACCGGGCGACCGGAUGCCAAUCUCCAAACCCUGUCUCAGUUCGGAUCGGAGUCUGCAACUCGACUCCGUGAAGCUGGAUUCGCUAGUAAUCGCGCAUCAGCCAUGGCGCGGUGAAUACGUUCCCGGGCCUUGUACACACCGCCCGUCAAGCCAUGGGAGCCGGGGGUACCUGAAGUCCGUAACCGCGAGGAUCGGCCUAGGGUAAAACUGGUGUCUCGGCUAAGUCGUAACAAGGUAGCCGU